UGGGGAAUUUUGGACAAUGGGCGAAAGCCUGAUCCAGCCAUGCCGCGUGAGUGAGGAAGGCCUUCGGGUUGUAAAGCUCUUUUAGCCGGAAAGAAAGAGUUGCAAUGAAUAAUUGUGAUUUAUGACGGUACCGACAGAAAAAGCACCGGCUAACUACGUGCCAGCAGCCGCGGUAAUACGUAGGGUGCGAGCGUUAAUCGGAAUUACUGGGCGUAAAGGGUGCGCAGGCGGUUUUGCAAGUCAGAUGUGAUAGCCCCGGGCUUAACCUGGGAAUUGCGUUUGAAACUAUAAGACUAGAGUGCAAGAGAGGGGAGUGGAAUUCCAUGUGUAGCAGUGAAAUGCGUAGAGAUGUGGAAGAACACCGAUGGCGAAGGCAGCUCCCUGGAUUGACACUGACGCUCAUGCACGAAAGCGUGGGGAGCAAACA
This 427-nucleotide ribosomal RNA is filed under the name uncultured beta proteobacterium. RNAcentral describes it as "bacterial SSU rRNA". It matches the Rfam family "Bacterial small subunit ribosomal RNA", at positions 355 to 774 of the family's 1533-position model. The record is from RNAcentral. Lineage: Bacteria; Pseudomonadati; Pseudomonadota; Betaproteobacteria.